Molecule: long non-coding RNA, 434 nt
Organism: Dermacentor silvarum
Lineage: Eukaryota; Metazoa; Arthropoda; Arachnida; Ixodida; Ixodidae
Exons: 3
Source: RefSeq, a predicted model, not a curated record
GUGUAGAGCUUUUUGUUCAUGUUGGUUAAGUUUGGUCUAAUGAAAAACAAGUGCAAGCCAUCAAAGCCAGCUUGCAUUCAGUGUCUUGUUUGUAUUGUGUAAGGAGUAUGGCUAACCAGAUCCAUUCAGCUUAGUAGAAGCCCAAUGCACAUCUACCAGCAGCAUGCCCCAUCCAAUUGGGCAUCACGUCUGCAUGUAAUGUUAAUUUACACUGUACACAGACACACACACACUUACAAGCAGCACGUGUGACCAGCUCAGAGGUGCCUCUCGCGCUCUAACGCACACACCAUCCAAUUGGGCAUCACGUCUGCAUGUAAUGUUAAUUUACACUGUACACAGACACACACACACUUACAAGCAGCACGUGUGACCAGCUCAGAGGCGCCUCUCGCGCUCUAACGCACACACCAUCCGAUUGGGCAUCACGUCUG